UGGCUUAGAGGUUAAAGUGUGUGCUAUGCAAGCAUAAGGACCUGAGUUCAAAUCCCAG
This 58-nucleotide transfer RNA is filed under the name Neotoma lepida (desert woodrat). It matches the Rfam family "tRNA", at positions 8 to 63 of the family's 71-position model. Rfam says of the family: Transfer RNA (tRNA) molecules are approximately 80 nucleotides in length. Their secondary structure includes four short double-helical elements and three loops (D, anti-codon, and T loops). Lineage: Eukaryota; Metazoa; Chordata; Mammalia; Rodentia; Cricetidae. The record is from Rfam by way of RNAcentral.